This is a long non-coding RNA of Spinacia oleracea (spinach), 963 nucleotides long. RefSeq lists it as uncharacterized. The record is from RefSeq and is a predicted model, not a curated record. The transcript is spliced from 7 exons. NCBI's taxonomy places the organism in Eukaryota, Viridiplantae, Streptophyta, Magnoliopsida, Caryophyllales, Amaranthaceae.
GUGGGUUUACUUUUUCUGAAACCGCAAAAAAAAUCGACCUUAGGUUUAGGUUUCAGAAAAUCCAUCUCUAAACUUUCCUCUUCCUGAUCCCGCAACAAUUCGUCUCAGCCAAUUCAUCUCUAAAUUUAUCAGACAAUUCGUCUCAGCCGCGGUAUUGAUUCAAGUUCAAGUUUAAUUCUCAGCUGCGGUAUACCCUCUCCCAAGGCGUUGAAGACGGAAUUUUUUCCGGCAGUGGUGAAAUUGGCAGUGUCAAAUUCUGGCGCGGGUGGUGGUGAGGUCCUUUGGUCCCAGUGUUGUGUGCUUCUUUACUCCCAAUUUUGUUUUAUGAGAGAAUGUUAGAAUUGCCAGUGUCUCAGCCUCACAGGGUCUGAAAUUAUAUCAAUAGACCUUAGUGACAAUCACAUUGGGGAUACAAGUCUUGCCAGUUUACCUCCCACGGUAAUCAGUUUACUGGUGGUAUUCCUGACUUGUCUGUAUUUAGUCAACUGGUGUUUUGUGAUUUUACAACUCUGUGAACUUAGCAUCAAUUGGUUGAAUGUGGGAUUUAGCUAUUUGACGGUGUUCGUGCGUGUUUUGUAGUAAUAUGGAGUUUUCGAUUGUGGUUUAAAGAGCUUUGGGAGUGAUUUCUGGUAUGACAGGAGCCGGUGGAAACAUGGGUGCGGUCUUAAAUCAACUGAUAUUCUUCAAAGGAUCUCAAUACACAAAAGAGAGGGGAAUAACUUAUAUGUGUAUAAUGAUUGUAGCAUGUACUCUACCCAUAGCUUCCAUAUACUUCCCACAGCGGGGAGGAUCUCAUACUGUUGUCGCUGCUAUUUGCUGCUGUCACUGCUAGAUGUUGAUGUUAAUGUCUGCUGCUGAUUUAGUCUGCUGUUGUUACUGUCUGCUGCUGUUACGGUUGAUGUACUGUUGUCACUGUUGUCACUGCUGCAUGCUAUCUGCUGUUGUUGUUAUUGUUAUUGUUGU